GAUGAACGCUGGCGGCGUGCUUAACACAUGCAAGUCGAACGAGAACGGAUUAUAGCUUGCUAUAAUUGUCAGCUAAGUGGCGCACGGGUGAGUAAUGUAUAGGUAAUAUGCCUUUUACUAAGGAAUAACAAAUGGAAACGUUUGCUGAUACCUUAUACUCCUUAUUAACCUAAGUUAAUAAGGGAAAGAUUUAUUGGUAAGAGAUUAGCCUGUAUUGUAUCAGUUAGUUGGUGAGGUAAUGGCUUACCAAGACUAUGACACAUAACUGGUUUGAGAGGAUGAUCAGUCACACUGGAACUGAGACACGGUCCAGACUCCUACGGGAGGCAGCAGUGGGGAAUAUUGCACAAUGGACGGAAGUCUGAUGCAGCAACGCCGCGUGGAGGAUGACACAUUUCGGUGCGUAAACUCCUUUUAUAUGAGAAGAUAAUGACGGUAUUAUAUGAAUAAGCACCGGCUAACUCCGUGCCAGCAGCCGCAGUAA
Molecule: ribosomal RNA, 484 nt
Filed under: uncultured bacterium
Lineage: Bacteria
Description: partial 16S ribosomal RNA
Rfam family: Bacterial small subunit ribosomal RNA
Source: RNAcentral